AUUGAACGCUGGCGGCAGGCCUAACACAUGCAAGUCGAACGGAGUGGCGGACGGGUGAGUAAUGUCUGGGAAACUGCCUGAUGGAGGGGGAUAACCACUGGAAACGGUAGCUAAUACCGCAUCCUAUCAGAUGAGCCUAGGUCGGAUUAGCUAGUUGGGGGGGUAAAGGCCUACCAAGGCGACGAUCCGUAACUGGUCUGAGCUGAUGAUCAGGAACAGUGGAAAGGAGACACGGUCCAGACGCCUACGGGAGGCAGCAGUGGGGAAUAUUGGACAAUGGGCGAAAGCCUGAGCCAGCCAUGCCGCGUGUGUGACGAAGGUGUUCGGAUUGUAAAGCACGUUAAGUUGGGAGGCGUUACCAACAGAAGAAGCACCGGCUAACUUCGUGCCAGCAGCCGCGGUAAUAC
Molecule: ribosomal RNA, 407 nt
Filed under: uncultured bacterium
Lineage: Bacteria
Description: partial 16S ribosomal RNA
Rfam family: Bacterial small subunit ribosomal RNA
Source: RNAcentral